This 1318-nucleotide ribosomal RNA is filed under the name metagenome. RNAcentral describes it as "bacterial LSU rRNA". It matches the Rfam family "Bacterial large subunit ribosomal RNA", at positions 1564 to 2888 of the family's 2925-position model. The record is from RNAcentral.
CGAGUCCGGCAAGCUACGGCUUGUCAGUGAUGGCGAUCAUACUUCCCAGAAAAGCCCGGACUAUCGUAAAUUCUAAAUACUUGUACCCGAAACCGACACAGGUGGGGAGGUUGAGAAAACUAAGGGGCGCGAGAUAACUCUCUCUAAGGAACUCGGUAAAAUGACCCCGUAACUUCGGGAGAAGGGGUGCCACCGCAAGGUGGUCGCAGUAAAGAGGCCCAGGCGACUGUUUACCAAAAACACAGGUCUCCGCCAAGUCGCAAGACGCAGUAUGGGGGCUGACGCCUGCCCAGUGCCGGAAGGUUAAGGAAGUUGGUCAGGAGUAAUCUAAAGCUGACGACUGAAGCCCCGGUGAACGGCGGCCGUAACUAUAACGGUCCUAAGGUAGCGAAAUUCCUUGUCGGGUAAGUUCCGACCCGCACGAAAGGCGUAACGAUCUGGGCACUGUCUCGGAGAGAGACUCGGCGAAAUAGGAUUGUCUGUGAAGAUACGGACUACCUGCACCUGGACAGAAAGACCCUAUGAAGCUUUACUGUAGCCUGGAAUUGGCUUCGGGCUUCGCUUGCGCAGGAUAGGUGGGAGGCGUUGACAUUCCCCUUGUGGGGGGAAUUGAGCCAACGGUGAGAUACCACUCUAGCGAGGCUAGAAGUCUAACUUUCGCCCAUUAUCUGGGGAAAGAACAGUUUCAGGUGGGCAGUUUGACUGGGGCGGUCGCCUCCUAAAUGGUAACGGAGGCGUACAAAGGUUUCCUCAGGCUGGUUGGAAAUCAGCCAUAGAGUGCAAAAGCAGAAGGAAGCUUGACUGCGAGACCUACAAGUCGAGCAGGGACGAAAGUCGGUUUUAGUGAUCCGACGGCGCCGCGUGGAAGGGCCGUUGCUCAACGGAUAAAAGUUACUCUAGGAUAACAGGCUGAUCUCCCCCAAGAGUCCACAUCGACGGGGAGGUUUGGCACCUCGAUGUCGGCUCAUCGCAACCUGGGGCGGAAGUACGUCCCAAGGGUUGGGCUGUUCGCCCAUUAAAGCGGUACGUGAGCUGGGUUCAGAACGUCGUGAGACAGUUCGGUCCAUAUCCGGUGCAGGCGCAAGAGCAUUGAGAGGAGCCUUCCUUAGUACGAGAGGACCGGGAAGGACGCACCACUGGUGUACCUGUUAUCGUGCCAACGGUAGACGCAGGGUAGCCAAGUGCGGAGUGGAUAACCGCCGAAAGCAUCUAAGUGGGAAGCCCACCUCAAGAUGAUCGCUCUCACAGGGUUAACCUGGUAAGGUCACGGGCAGAACACCCGUUAUUAGGCACUAGGUGGAAGUUCAGCAAUGAAUGU